This 1779-nucleotide ribosomal RNA is filed under the name Triticum aestivum (bread wheat). RNAcentral's name for it is "partial small subunit ribosomal RNA". Lineage: Eukaryota; Viridiplantae; Streptophyta; Magnoliopsida; Poales; Poaceae. The record is from RNAcentral.
CCGGGGUUGCGUGUGCUCGCUAUCGACAAUGAUCCUGUCAGCCUCAAGGUCUUGGAGGUUCUCCUGCGCAUGCGCAACUACCGUCCAACAAUCGUGAGGGACGCGGUGAUGGCCCACCAGAUGCUUAGCGAGGGGAGGGACAAUUUCGAUCUGGUGGUCAGCGAUGUGUACCUGUCGGACAUGGACGGCUUCAAGCUUCUCAAGCUCAUCGACCUCGAGAUGGAUCUUCCCGUCAUCGUGUUAUCAGCGGACGAGAGGCCCGAGGCUAUGAAGAAAGGCAUAGCUCACGGAGCGUGCCAGUACCUGGUGAAACCGGUGCAAGCCAAGCACCUCGAUAUCAUGUGGCGGCAUGUCAUGGCGAGGAGAACCCCUCAACCAUGGAACCUCAGCAGCAGCAGCCGUAAUGCUGCCGCUGAGAAGGCGCAGCCUACAGGAGGACCCGGCGGCGGCGAGCAGGACGGUGCAAAGAGCACCAAGCGUGGAUGGACGAAGAGUCAUGAACAUGAUGAAGAUGGCCAUGAUGCGAACAAGGAGAACUUGUCACCAAACCCAUCGACCUGGAAGAAGCCGAGGACGACAUGGAGAAAUGAGCUGCAUGACAAGUUUGUGGAGGCUGUCAGUCAGAUCGGCAUCAAGAGGGCUGUUCCAUCGAAGAUACUGGCCGCCAUGAAUGUGGAUAACGUCUCCAGAGAGAGUGUUGGGAGUCAUCUUGCUGCCCAAAAACUGGAACUGGAUAGUCUCCCCACAAGGAUGGAUCAUCCGUCCGCGUUCGGAGCGCGUGGUGCCGGUGUCCAUGGUGGCAGCAUGCUCUCCAGGCCUUGGUUGUCGUGGCUGCUGCCGGGUUUGAGGCAGCGGCCCUCUUCCUCCAGCGCAUAUACAAACAGGACAAAUGGCACAGGGGCGUGGGACGCAUUUAGUUCCGGCCAUUCCCGCGGCGAGUCAUCCUACAUGGGCAUGCUGCGUGGCAAUCUACUGGGGGCAAACAGAGGCUUUCAGAGUAGUGGCAGCUCCCUUGCGGACAGAAAUAGACACAAUGGUGGGACGUCUUUGCCUGUGAAUCAGUUUUCAGUGCGGCCAUCUCGCCAACUGGGGUUCCAGCCUCCGGUUCAGAGGAGUCCGUAUGGCGACGCCCGGAACCGCCUAGGCAACUCCUGGCAAGCACCUAUGAAGUAUCCUGAUCUUAGCCGUGACUAUUGGAACAUCCCCAACAUCAACCAGCUCACAGGCCUUGCAGCCUCACCAGCUGGCCAGAUAGCUGGCCAAACACCGAUGAGUCUUGACAACCUGAAGAACCAAAUAGCAGCUUUCAUAAACAGCACAACAUCGAUGGCAGGUUCCGGUGAGGAGAUGGCGUCGUUUGACGGUGAUGUAGCCACCAACAACAGCACAAGCUCAGUACAGGUGCUGAAUGGUGACCUCGCAAUCGACGGCAACACAAGCUCGGUAGAGAUGUUGAAUGGUGACCUCUCAAUCGACGACAACACAAGCUGGGUAGAGAUGCUGAAUGGUUACCUCGCAAUGGACGGCGGCACAAGCUUGGUGGAGAUGCCGAAUGGUAACUUCGCACUUGGUAGUGCUUCAAGCAUCCGUGCUGCAAUGCCUGACCUUCAGAUGGGCAUUUCUGCCGCGCCAACUCGGAUGCUGAAUGAUGGUGGUGCAGGCGGCGUUCUCCCUGCGCAAGCACAAGGCACAGCUGAUCAGGAAGCUGUUGAUGGUCAACUGAAUAUCGACAGUGAUGAUUUCUUGGAAGCUGUUGUUGAUAGUUUUUCGAUGGAUGAC